Molecule: ribosomal RNA, 319 nt
Filed under: uncultured eukaryote
Lineage: Eukaryota
Description: partial 18S ribosomal RNA
Rfam family: Eukaryotic small subunit ribosomal RNA
Source: RNAcentral
CCCUUAGAUGUUCUGGGCCGCACGCGCGCUACAAUGGUCUUCGCAAACGGAUGCAUUCUCGAAGGAGAAUGCCAAUCUUGGAAUCUAUGCCUUGGUCGGGACAGUUGCUUGCAAUUUUUCGACUCGAACCAGGAAUUCCUUGUAAUCGUGAUUCAUCACAUCACGAUGAAUACGUCCCUGUCCUUUGUACACACCGCCCGUCGCUCCUACCGAUCGAAGAGUUAGGUGAAUUGUUUUGAUCGAUAAGAUUUGACUAUGGUCAACUCUCGUUGUGAAAUUCUGUGAAUCUGACUGUUUAGAGGAAGGAAAAGUCGUAACA